GAUGAACGCUGGCGGCGUGCCUAAUACAUGCAAGUCGAGCGAACAGAUGAGAAGCUUGCUUCUCUGAUGUUAGCGGCGGACGGGUGAGUAACACGUGGGUAACCUACCUAUAAGACUGGGAUAACUCCGGGAAACCGGGGCUAAUACCGGAUAAUAUUUUGAACCGCAUGGUUCAAUAGUGAAAGACGGUUUCGGCUGUCACUUAUAGAUGCACCCGCGCCGUAUUAGCUAAUUGGUAAGGUAACGGCUUACCAAGGAGACGAUGCGUAGCCGACCUGAGAGGGUGAUCGGCCACACUGGAACUGAGACACGGUCCAGACUCCUACGGGAGGAAGCAGUAGGGAAUCUUCCGCAAUGGGCGAAAGCCUGACGGAGCAACGCCGCGUGAGUGAUGAAGGUCUUCGGAUCGUAAAACUCUGUUGUUAGGGAAGAACAAAUUUGUUAGUAACUGAACAAGUCUUGACGGUACCUAACCAGAAAGCCACGGCUAACUACGUGCCAGCCGCCGCCGUAA
RNAcentral lists this ribosomal RNA (514 nucleotides) under uncultured bacterium. RNAcentral describes it as "partial 16S ribosomal RNA". It matches the Rfam family "Bacterial small subunit ribosomal RNA", at positions 28 to 523 of the family's 1533-position model. The record is from RNAcentral.